CGCGGCCUAUCAGCUUGUUGGUGAGGUAACGGCUCACCAAGGCGACGACGGGUAGCUGGUCUGAGAGGAUGUCCAGCCACACUGGGACUGAGACACGGCCCAGACUCCUACGGGAGGCAGCAGUUAGGAAUCUUGCGCAAUGGACGAAAGUCUGACGCAGCGACGCCGCGUGCGGGAUGACGGCCUUCGGGUUGUAAACCGCUUUCAGCAGGGACGAAAUUGACGGUACCUGCAGAAGAAGCCCCGGCCAACUACGUGCCAGCAGCCGCGGUAGUACGUAGGAGGCGAGCGUUGUCCGGAUUUAUUGGGCGUAAAGAGCUCGUAGGUGGUUCGGUAAGUCGGAUGUGAAAUCUCCAGGCUCAACCUGGAGGGGUCAUUCGAUACUGCCGUGACUAGAGUUCGGUAGGGGAGUGUGGAAUUCCUGGUGGAGCGGUGAAAUGCGCAGAUAUCAGGAGGGACACCCGUAGCGAAGGCGGCACUCUGGGCCGAUACUGACACUGAGGAGCGAAAGCGUGGGGAGCGAACAGGAUUAGAUACCCUGGUAGUCCACGCCGUAAACGUUGGGCACUAGGUGUGGGGUUCUAUCGACGGAUUCCGUGCCGUAGCUAACGCAUUAAGUGCCCCGCCUGGGGAGUACGG
This 639-nucleotide ribosomal RNA is filed under the name uncultured bacterium. RNAcentral describes it as "bacterial SSU rRNA". It matches the Rfam family "Bacterial small subunit ribosomal RNA", at positions 232 to 885 of the family's 1533-position model. The record is from RNAcentral.